RNAcentral lists this ribosomal RNA (1195 nucleotides) under Chryseobacterium aquaticum. Its description in RNAcentral is "bacterial SSU rRNA". It matches the Rfam family "Bacterial small subunit ribosomal RNA", at positions 98 to 1300 of the family's 1533-position model. Lineage: Bacteria; Pseudomonadati; Bacteroidota; Flavobacteriia; Flavobacteriales; Weeksellaceae. The record is from RNAcentral.
GCGCACGGGUGCGGAACACGUGUGCAACCUGCCUUUAUCUGGGGGAUAGCCUUUCGAAAGGAAGAUUAAUACCCCAUAAUAUAUUGAGUGGCAUCACUUGAUAUUGAAAACUCCGGUGGAUAGAGAUGGGCACGCGCAAGAUUAGAUAGUUGGUGAGGUAACGGCUCACCAAGUCAAUGAUCUUUAGGGGGCCUGAGAGGGUGAUCCCCCACACUGGUACUGAGACACGGACCAGACUCCUACGGGAGGCAGCAGUGAGGAAUAUUGGACAAUGGGUGAGAGCCUGAUCCAGCCAUCCCGCGUGAAGGACGACUGCCCUAUGGGUUGUAAACUUCUUUUAUACUGGGAUAAACCUACCCUUCGUGAGGGUAGCUGAAGGUACAGUAUGAAUAAGCACCGGCUAAUUCCGUGCCAGCAGCCGCGGUAAUACGGAGGGUGCAAGCGUUAUCCGGAUUUAUUGGGUUUAAAGGGUCCGUAGGCGGACUCGUAAGUCAGUGGUGAAAUCUCAUAGCUUAACUAUGAAACUGCCAUUGAUACUGCGGGUCUUGAGUAAAGUAGAAGUGGCUGGAAUAAGUAGUGUAGCGGUGAAAUGCAUAGAUAUUACUUAGAACACCAAUUGCGAAGGCAGGUCACUAUGUUUUAACUGACGCUGAUGGACGAAAGCGUGGGGAGCGAACAGGAUUAGAUACCCUGGUAGUCCACGCCGUAAACGAUGCUAACUCGUUUUUGGGUUUUCGGAUUCAGAGACUAAGCGAAAGUGAUAAGUUAGCCACCUGGGGAGUACGUUCGCAAGAAUGAAACUCAAAGGAAUUGACGGGGGCCCGCACAAGCGGUGGAUUAUGUGGUUUAAUUCGAUGAUACGCGAGGAACCUUACCAAGGCUUAAAUGGGAAUUGACAGGUUUAGAAAUAGAUCCUUCUUCGGACAAUUUUCAAGGUGCUGCAUGGUUGUCGUCAGCUCGUGCCGUGAGGUGUUAGGUUAAGUCCUGCAACGAGCGCAACCCCUGUCACUAGUUGCCAUCAUUCAGUUGGGGACUCUAGUGAGACUGCCUACGCAAGUAGAGAGGAAGGUGGGGAUGACGUCAAAUCAUCACGGCCCUUACGCCUUGGGCCACACACGUAAUACAAUGGCCGGUACAGAGGGCAGCUACUAUGCGAAUAGAUGCGAAUCUCGAAAGCCGGUCUCAGUUCGGAUUG